RNAcentral lists this long non-coding RNA (3675 nucleotides) under Capsella rubella. RNAcentral's name for it is "long non-coding RNA (CRUB_LNC002852)". The record is from RNAcentral. Lineage: Eukaryota; Viridiplantae; Streptophyta; Magnoliopsida; Brassicales; Brassicaceae.
CUGUCCGAUAAACAUCAUAUAAAGUUUUGAAUAAUUUGCACGUUCAAUCUAAAAAGAAAAUCACAGGUAAUUUUUGCAAAAGCAAACAAAUAUCUUAGUCUUUUAAUUCUUUUUCGCAAAUGCUCGAAUCCUAGAUAAGUACACAUGUAUAAAGCAUAAUACAUACCUGAAAUGAUACUUGUCGCUACUGUCAUUGAAGUAGAAGGCAUCUUCCUCUUCGUCCAUGUCCCCUUGGUUGGCAAACAUAAUUUUACGGCCUUCAACUUCAUCAACAAGUAACUCGGCCAAGCCUCCCUUUGGUCCAACCUUCAUGAGCCCCAAGUAACCAUCACAGAUGUACAAAUCUCCCGUUUUCUUCUCAAAAGUAAGUCCCAAUGGCCUUCCACAACUAGGCACCACGUCAUUUCUUGAGCAGUUCCCUCUGCAUACAUGGAAGGUAAUAUUUAAAGUUAUCAUUAGUUAAUUUACUUAUUUGAUUUUUCAGAGACGCCAACAUAUAUAUUUUUAUCAUGUCAUCGGUUGUCAAGCCGCUAAGAUAUGGCUGACACCAAUCCGUACCUUAUGAGUUUGAUCGAGUCCCUUUCCGAAAUACUAUCAAGAUAAUUAUAUUUUUUUUCCUAAGUUACAUUUGUGUCAAUAUUGAAAAAACAGAGAUAUAAACUAUUGGGACAAAUCCAAGGAAUGUUUGCACAAAUAUAUAUUGGUCAAAAACCUUAAAAUUUAAUUACAAAACUCAAGCUUUUUUUUGGUAAUUAUUACAAAACUCAAGCUGAUUCACUGGAAAACUCAGACAAAAGGUCAGAAAUCCUAAUUCUCAAAUAAUAAUAAAAUUAAAAACCUGAAAAAUAUUAUUUGUUCUUUUCUCUCUUCAACUUAUUAUUAUCCUCUCUUUUCAAAAAAAUAAUAAUAAUAAUUUUUAAGGAGGGUUACACAACAAACGAGUGGUAGCCGAGACAUCUUGGGUAAUUUUCUUCAACUAAUUUGGUACUCUCUUUUAAUUUAUACUUAUUUGGUACAUGUAUUAGAAAAAGGUAAAAAUAAAAACCUGUGAGGAGAUGUAUAGGCAAACUCAACCCAGCCGAGAUCAUCGCCGCGCCACUUGAGAAUACGGCCGUCCACCAUGGCAGCAUAAGGACCUUCUCCUUGCGGGUCAAACUCAAUGCUCUCUGGUCCAACAACAGGAGUUGGAAUGGUCUUAGCCGCUGCCAGUAUAUUUUUGGCGCCCUCUACAUCUCCCGGCACAAGAAAGAUCUGAUACGAGGUUAUGGACAAGACGGCCAACACAACCGGAGCAACGAACCAUGUCGGAACUUUCUGAUUAAGCGGCAUGUUUCCCGCCCCUGAUCAAAAUAUGUUGUUGAAAGAGACGUAUUGAAGUAACACCAAAUUAAAUGUUGUGUGUUUUCUUAUUGUUUGGUGGAUGCAUAGAUAUACACGUCUCGCCGAUUCGCUUGUAGCGCCAGCUGUGAGAAAAACUAAAAUAAACCAUGCGUUUCGUCAACGGAGGUGACAAGGUCAGUUUAAUAAUUGAAAUUUAUCGGAACUUCUCGAAACGCGAAGGAAUUUGACGGGAAGACGAUGUUACGCCCACGUAAAACCAAAACAAACGAAUAAGACGUUACGCACGUACAUACGUUUACGGUUUAUCAUUACAAUUAAGAAUUAACGAUUAAUUUGUGAUUUAACAAAAAAAUUAUUUACACCAACUUCUCGUCAUGAGAAAACGGACGACUGAAAAAAAAGAGAAAUAUGGAUAAUUGUGUUUAAACGUAUUAUUCUAAUAAUUGGUACUUUUAUAGACUGUUUGAAAGAGCAAAUUGAGUAAAGAAGCGAAUAUUCGAUUGCCCUUCUCAGAGACCCGACAAAAAUUGAAGCCAGGCUAUAUCUUUUAUUCUUUCUUUUGGACCCAAGCCAGCUUAAACGGAUUUGCUGCCAACUAAUUAAAAUUAAUUUGAAGAUAAACCCGACACAACAUCAAAGUGUAGAUACAUUUCACGUCACUUCAUUUUUCGACCACAUAUAAUAAGUCACUGAUGUGUCCACUUCAAACAUAGCCACCACCCACGAGUAUUACUGUUUCUUUUUUCCACUCGGCAUAUUUAAUUUAGCUACUAUGGCAAAAGAAAAACGUGUUUCAUUUUCUAUGUUAAUCUCUAUCCUAGCAUAUUUGAAUCUUUCAUAUUGCUAAUGAUUAUUGAUACCAACCGACAAAACAUAUAUAAUAACCAUAUGCUAUAUAUAUAUAUAUAUAUAUAUAUAUAUAUAUAUAUAUAUAUAAUUAAUUAUAUGCAAUAUAUACAAUUAAGAUGGUUUUACGAAAUGACUUUAACAUAUAAUUCUUUCUACAAUUCAAAUUUUUGGAGGGUUGGAUUCUGUCUGCACCUACAAUCACAAUAAACUAUGAUGAAUUGAUCGAUGAUAAUGAUGAAGAUGUUAAAAUAUUUAAUCAACUUUGCAUCCAUAUGUUGGAAGAGAGAAAUUUCUUAAAAUCGAUAUAACAGAAUCAGCUUUCCACAACAAAAACGUGUUUGAAAUAUAACAAAACAUAUUUAAAUGUGUGUGUAAUAAGAGAAACUGCAUAAUUAGAAUCAGCGAGAUAUUCUUAGGUAAUUUGGUAAAUUUUAUAACCAAAUAAAUUUUACUAUAAAGCGGUAUACGUCUCAGCCAUUAUCAGAUCGUUUGACACCUUGUCACCAUAUGAUUACGUCAUAACAAACACUAAAGACUAAAGACAGUUUUAAGAAUCGGAAUUUUCACAAAUUAGAAAUAAUAAAUAUUUUUUUAAUUAAUAUUCAUUAUGCUUAAAUAGUAGAUACAAUUGUCACUCAUUUGCGAUCAAGAACCCAAACGGCUGGCCAAUAAACAGACCCAAACCAUAACUUUCCAUCAUCUCUCUCAUAAACCUCACUUACAUACUUCAUUGUCUUUCCUUCUUUGUCUUCAAGAACUUCAAGGACCUCCCCUGUCUCCCCGGAGAUUUUCACGGCGACCCCCUGCGGCUUAAAUCCGUUAAGGAAAGCAAUCACGUACUCCAUUUUUAUUGUCUUUUCAACCAAUUUCCCGAACCACUCAUUCCUCAAAAUAAAUCGACCUAACAUGUUUUUCUUGCAGUGUAUACCAAUCCAAAAAUCUCCCGUUGGUGUUAGCCGGAUGUUGUCGGCGUAACCUGGGACUUUAGUAAAGAUAUCACGUGUCCCGGCUUUGGGGCCUUUGAUCCAGUAUCUGUGGACAAGACUUGUGGCAGACUCGCAUGUGAUUAGGAAAGACCGAUCUUUGUUUAGAGCCAACCCGUUGUUACAACGGAGAUUGUCCAUAACAACUUUGGCCUCUUUCGUCUUCUUAUCGUAUCUGAUCACUCUUCCUGACGGCUCCAUACGGACACCCUCCAUGAAUACGUCCCUGACAGACAAACAUCACAUAAAAGUUUUGAAUAAGUUUUACAUUCAAUCAAAAAAAAAAAACAUCACAGCUAACUUUUGGUAAGCAAACAAAAUAUCCAAGUCUUUUACGUAAAUGCUCAGAUCCAAGAUAAGUAUAUGUAUAAAGCAUAAUGCAUACCUGAAAUGAUACUUGUCACUACUAUCAUUGAAGUAGAAGACAUCUUCCUCUUCGUCCAUGUCCCCUUGGUUGGCAAACAUAAUUUUACGGCCUUCAACUUUAUCAACAAGUAACUCG